Trichinella spiralis is the source of this 893-nucleotide non-coding RNA. The record is from Rfam. Lineage: Eukaryota; Metazoa; Nematoda; Enoplea; Trichinellida; Trichinellidae.
NNNNNNNNNNNNNNNNNNNNNNNNNNNNNNNNCAUGCAUGUGUAAGCACACACUGUUUAAAGUGAGCGCGAUGCUCAUACACAGCACAGUCUAUAGACUACAUCAUGAUUACUGCGGAUCUAGAGCUAUACACGCACAAAACUCAACUGAAUUGGUGAAGUGCUUUUAUUAGAACAAAAACCGAACGGCGUUUGACGAAUGUUGAACGUCGAAACUGUUUGGUGAAUCUGAAUAAGUAUUUCUGAUCGCAUGGUCUAGCACCGGCGACAUCACUUUCAAGUGUCUGCCUUAUCAACCUUCGAUGGUAGUCUAUGCGACUACCAUGGUGAUAACGGGUAACGGAGAAUCAGGGUUCGACUCCGGAGAGGGAGCCUGAGAAACGGCUACCACAUCCAAGGAAGGCAGCAGGCGCGCAAAUUACCCACUCCCAGCUUGGGGAGGUAGUGACGAAAAAUAACGAGACGAUUCUCGUUUGAGAAACGUUAUCGAAAUGAGUACGCUUUACACACGCUAACGAGUAGCAAUUGGAGGGCAAGUCUGGUGCCAGCAGCCGCGGUAAUUCCAGCUCCAAUAGCGUAUAUUAAAGUUGCUGCGGUUAAAACGCUCGUAGUUGAAUUGUGGUCUUAGACAACAGUCCCCCUACAAAGGUGUGGCACGGUUGCUCGAGAUCUUCAUUCGUGGUUGCUGUUGUUGCUCUUCAUUGAGUGUCAAUGGUGCCUCGAGAUUUUACUUUGAAAAAAUUAGAGUGCUCAAAGCAGGUUGUGAUGCCUGAAUAAUGGUGCAUGGAAUAAUAGAAUACGAUCUCGGUUCUAUUUUGUUGGUUUUCGAACCGGAGAUACUGUUUGAAAGGAACAGACGGGGGCAUUCGUAUUGCUGCGUUAGAGGUGAAAUCU